GUGCUGUCAACCACAGGCCACCUUGGGUUCGGCGGCGCACGUGGGCUUCAGGCGCCGUGACCCCGCCAGGCGGCACUUCUCUGCGACGGCUGCCGGGGCUGGCACUCUGGAACGCAGAGCCGCCCCAGGCACAUCUCCUACCUCGCGCUCUCAGGAAGAGGCGCCGGCGGCGGCUGCAGGGCCGAGGGUGUGGCCGCGCUGUCGCGGCCGCGCCGUGUCAGAGCCGGGUGGGAGCCUGCACUGAUUGCGCACAGCGGCCGUCCCACUCGUGCUCUCGCCCGCCACGCCCGGGUGCGCGGGGCUCCGCGGCUGCCCUUCCCGCCCGGCGGCUCAAAGCGCGCGGCCCGAAGCCGCGGCGGCACGCCCUCCCGGACCGCGCGCCCGGCGGCCCGCUGCUGGCUGUCGGCGCGAAUCCAUCUCCGGCGCGCCCUCGUCCUGGGCCCGCAGCGGCUGAGCUCUCCCGAGGCCCCGGGCCCCGCGCAUCGGAUGCAGCUGCACGCGUCUACACGGCUGAUGAGCCGACUCAGAAGGUCCCCUUAGCGCCAUGACCAGCAGCCCGGGCCCCGGCUCCUGCCAUUUCCGUCAACCACCAACUUCCGAGCGAGCAGGGAGAAACUGAAAGGAAGGGCGGGGGCCGAAAGGCGAGGGGAAAACACCCGCUUCCUCUCUGCACGCAGCUUAGCCUUGGAGCACGGCCGUGGGUGCUCGCCCGCCGGGGCCGCCGGAGGCUUCCCCUCUGCCCAGCCGCGCCUCGCCCCCGGCUCGCCGCCGCCGCACCUCGCCGUAACCUCCCCGGAGCCUAUAGAAAUCUUUUGUGUGGCGUCACCGCCUUUCGUUUAAAUCCCGCUUCCUCCUCUCGCCUUUUCUCCCGCCCCCUCCGCCGCUCCCGGAUGCUUGCGCUGUGCGCUGCUCCUCCCCCGGGAAGCUGGGUGGCUGCGGGGGACGCCGCCGCCCAGCACUCAGCUGCCUGCCUGAAGCUGGUGGUCCUGGGCCGCCCCUGCGUUCCGGCRGAAAGAUUGGGUAGCAGACGGGCUGGGGAAAGGCAGCCCGGCCAGGGGCCCUGCACAUACCCUCUGGAGAUCGCGGUGUAGCAGCCGGUUGGCCUUACGAAGUGGUUGGAACACCUGGCCUUACUCCCAGAGAAUGGCCCAUCAGUUCAGUAGUCCUGAAUCCGGCCUUCUGGGUACUCUCCCAGCACACACUGGUGCAAUCUGUUUUUCUUAUCAUCACUGGAUGCUUCAUACUCAACAAUGAACUGUGCUACAUGAGGACUGUACCACUAUUCCACAAGGUUAUUUUCUGCCAUCAUUCAUUCACUCCACAAACAAUGAACACCUGCUACAUGCUGGGCUCUGUACCAGGCAUCAAAGUUACAAAGUAAGUAAUAUGAAGCUUCUACCUGUUAAGAGUGGAGUCCAUGGGCUGGGGAUGUG
Non-coding RNA from Urocitellus parryii (Arctic ground squirrel), 1433 nucleotides. The record is from RefSeq and is a predicted model, not a curated record. NCBI's taxonomy places the organism in Eukaryota, Metazoa, Chordata, Mammalia, Rodentia, Sciuridae.